UUGUCUCCUCAUUAUUUUGUUGUAGGUCAAGGUGGAUCCCCGGCAGUUCCGUAUUUUACUUUUCAGAGUCGAUGGCCAAGAUGGAUCCAUUGCAUGUUUUACCAUGCAAUCAGGAUGUUUCACUGUUGGUGGGCAUCUUAUAAUCUCCAAACAAACCUCAGAUUUAUUGGAAGUUCUGCUCCUGUCCAGGCCGAGAUCCGGUUAGAGAUAAACUGAGCCCCUUCGGGAGAGCUUUUGGAAACCUUGGACCAGAGCAAUGCCAAUGAAGAAUCAACUUUAUGCUGAAAUCAAUGCUUUGCUUCUAUUACUUGUUCAAUCCACAAUGUCUGAGGCUAAGCAAAGAGGAAAGCUGCAAGCACUUCUAUGCAAAGUCUUUACCAUUCUCCUUCCAAAACUCAGGGAACUCCAGGAGCAAUAGAAUCAUGUAACGUUGCCUUAUCGUUAUUUUGAUGGUUAUUUCAGUCCAUUCCAAUUCAGUGGGAUUUCCUCGAGUCCUGUAUAAAAGGGCUUUUAGGGGGGGAAAUAGAAAUGAGACACAUUAUUUAUCCCAAUCCGGGUGCAGGUCUGGUUUGGGGACUACCUUAGUGGAUGACUUGUGGAGGUGCAUCCUUUUUGGACUUAGUGGAUUCCAUACCAUUGGCCAAAGCGUCCUUCUUGGGCAUCUGUCUGGAAGAGGAAAUGGAAGGAAAUAGGAAGCUACCUUAUACCGAGUCAUACCAUUGGUCAAUGUUGUCUACGGUACACUGACUGGCAGCGGCUCUCUGGGGUUUCAUACAGGGAGUCAUUCUCAACCUUACCUGGCGAUGCCAGGACCAAACCUGGGACCUUCUGCAUGCAAAGCAGCUGCUGUACCACUGAGCCGUGGUGGUUCCAUCUGACAGAUCCCAGAAGAUGAGGCCCCGUGGCCAAUGCCCUCGAGGUUCAUUUGGGUUCCAUACUGACCCCUGUACUAUUUAACAUCAACAUGGAACCACUUGGAGAGGUCUUUUGGGGAUUUGAUCCCAUGAACAUGUUGACGACACACAGCUCUCCUUUUGCUUUCCAUUCUAUGCAAAGAAAGCUGUAAAGGUUCAGAUUCUAUGUUUGAGCACAGUGGUGGGAUUGUGCGUUGGCUAACAAACAGACUUAAUUCAUACAAGACAUACAAGACAGUUGGUCCGUAGGAAAGCUGAUCCAGAAUUAAGCAUACAACCUACAGUGGAUUGGAUUGCACUCUCUUUGAAGUUUGGGGGGGGGGGUUUACAAUUGGAUCUGUCUUUCUGUUUGAAAAUAAUGAGUCAGAAAAAUAAACUCUGGAUGGGUUAUGUGUGUAUGUGCCCACUCCUCCCCCAACUCAUAUUUAGCAAUAGACCAAAGCAAGCUCACAUGUGGUCUUUCCACUAGGUGGAGACAGUAUUCUGUAUGUUCAUGUGAUGCAAAUGGAGUGUGUUGUUGCCCAAUUGUAUGUCAUGAUCGCUGCUUUUUACAACCAAAUCCCAGUGUUAAUACACAGCCUGAACAACUGCAAUGUAACAUACUGAAUUUGCGCUAUUGUAGUUUCUAUGAGUAAGUAAAAUGAUGUAUGUUAAUAUUUAUAUCUUAUAUUCUCUACUUGCAAACGCUGGAUUUUGCAACCCAGCCCCCCCCUUUAUUGGGCUCUAAGAAAAUUCUUGCUCUUAAAAGAGGAAUUAUUUUUCAAAAACCUUUAUUGCUGGAACUUCUGCUGACCUCAGUGACCCAGAGAUGGUGGUGGGUCUGUAGCAGUUCUUGGUCACUUAGAUUCUGUUUUUCUAUUGUGGUUUCUUUUUAUAUCUUUAAGCUCAGAUGUGAAUUUUCAGUGGACCUUAGUGUGUGUGCGGAUAGAUGCAAUGUGGUUAUAAAUUUCUACAUGCCAAGGUUGCUCCUUAGGAUAUAUACCACUGGAAUGUUACAAACACUUUAUGUUGUCCUUCUCAUCAAAUAACCUGUUUCAACGUUUACCUUCUUGGAGGGGGGUUUACAUCUGUGCCCUUUCAUGGAAGGAGCAUUAAUACUGUGACAGAACACUUACGGGGCAACAUUGCAAAAUAUAAUCUUUUUGUCACAUGCUUUUUCUUUACAAAAAUAAAAUGGUUCUCUCUUGCCAA
Molecule: long non-coding RNA, 2105 nt
Organism: Rhineura floridana
Lineage: Eukaryota; Metazoa; Chordata; Lepidosauria; Squamata; Rhineuridae
Exons: 4
Source: RefSeq, a predicted model, not a curated record